This 497-nucleotide ribosomal RNA is filed under the name uncultured bacterium. Its description in RNAcentral is "partial 16S ribosomal RNA". It matches the Rfam family "Bacterial small subunit ribosomal RNA", at positions 28 to 507 of the family's 1533-position model. The record is from RNAcentral.
GAUGAACGCUGGCGGCGUGCCUAACACAUGCAAGUCGAGCGGACGGACGAGACUCUCGCUUGGCUGCUGUUAGCGGCGGACGGGUGAGUAACACGUGGAUAACCUACCUAUGAGACUAAGAUAACUUCAGGGGACCGAAGAUAACAUCGGACGAUAUUUUGAACGGCAUGGUUCAACGGUGCAAAACCGUCUUGCUGACCCUAAUAGAUGUAUCCGCGCUGCAUUAGCUAGUUGGUAAGGUAACGGCUUACCAAGGCGACGAUGCGUAGCCGACCUGAGAGGGUGAUCGGUCACACUGGAACUGAGACACGGUCCAGACUCCUACGGGAGGCAGCAGUGGGGAAUCUUGCACAAUGGGCGAAAGCCUGACGGAGCAACGCCGCGUGUGUGAUGAAGGUCUUCGGAUCGUAAAGCUCUGUUAGUUGGGAAGAACAGAAGUGUGAUUAACUCUUCACAUCUUGACGUUACCAACACAGAAAGCAACGGCUAACUUCGUG